This 639-nucleotide ribosomal RNA is filed under the name uncultured Actinomycetes bacterium. Its description in RNAcentral is "bacterial SSU rRNA". It matches the Rfam family "Bacterial small subunit ribosomal RNA", at positions 232 to 885 of the family's 1533-position model. The record is from RNAcentral. Lineage: Bacteria; Bacillati; Actinomycetota; Actinomycetes.
CGCGGCCUAUCAGCUUGUUGGUGAGGUAACGGCUCACCAAGGCAUCGACGGGUAGCUGGUCUGGGAGGACGAUCAGCCACACUGGGACUGAGACACGGCCCAGACUCCUACGGGAGGCAGCAGUGGGGAAUCUUGCGCAAUGGGCGAAAGCCUGACGCAGCGACGCCGCGUGGGGGAAGAAGGCUCUCGGGUCGUAAACCCCUUUCAGCAGGGACGAAAAUGACGGUACCUGCAGAAGAAGGACCGGCCAACUACGUGCCAGCAGCCGCGGUAAUACGUAGGGUCCAAGCGUUGUCCGGAUUUAUUGGGCGUAAAGAGCUCGUAGGCGGUUUGGUAAGUCGGGUGUGAAAACUCAGGGCUCAACCCUGAGACGCCACUCGAUACUGCCAUGACUAGAGUCCGGUAGGGGAGUGUGGAAUUCCUGGUGUAGCGGUGAAAUGCGCAGAUAUCAGGAGGAACACCGACAGCGAAGGCAGCACUCUGGGCCGGUACUGACGCUGAGGAGCGAAAGCAUGGGGAGCAAACAGGAUUAGAUACCCUGGUAGUCCAUGCCGUAAACGUUGGGCACUAGGUGUGGGUCCCAUCCAACGGGAUCCGUGCCGCAGCUAACGCAUUAAGUGCCCCGCCUGGGGAGUACGG